This 561-nucleotide ribosomal RNA is filed under the name Burkholderia sp. R10-4. RNAcentral describes it as "bacterial SSU rRNA". It matches the Rfam family "Bacterial small subunit ribosomal RNA", at positions 137 to 692 of the family's 1533-position model. Lineage: Bacteria; Pseudomonadati; Pseudomonadota; Betaproteobacteria; Burkholderiales; Burkholderiaceae. The record is from RNAcentral.
UGGGGGAUAGCCCGGCGAAAGCCGGAUUAAUACCGCAUACGCUCUACGGAGGAAAGGGGGGGAUCUCAGGACCUCCCGCUACAGGGGCGGCCGAUGGCAGAUUAGCUAGUUGGUGGGGUAAAGGCCUACCAAGGCGACGAUCUGUAGCUGGUCUGAGAGGACGACCAGCCACACUGGGACUGAGACACGGCCCAGACUCCUACGGGAGGCAGCAGUGGGGAAUUUUGGACAAUGGGCGAAAGCCUGAUCCAGCAAUGCCGCGUGUGUGAAGAAGGCCUUCGGGUUGUAAAGCACUUUUGUCCGGAAAGAAAACCUCCGCCCCUAAUAUGGUGGGGGGAUGACGGUACCGGAAGAAUAAGCACCGGCUAACUACGUGCCAGCAGCCGCGGUAAUACGUAGGGUGCAAGCGUUAAUCGGAAUUACUGGGCGUAAAGCGUGCGCAGGCGGUCCGCUAAGACAGAUGUGAAAUCCCCGGGCUUAACCUGGGAACUGCAUUUGUGACUGGCGGGCUAGAGUAUGGCAGAGGGGGGUAGAAUUCCACGUGUAGCAGUGAAAUGCGUA